UUUACCACCACUAUAAAAUGCUUCAGGAAGUUUCUCUGCUUUUCAGAAGAAGUUUAUUGAGGAUGUUGGACAAGGAUCAUUUUUAUUUACCUGGAUUUUCAAGUUUAAUGUUUGAAACUCAGAGAAGUCACUCAACUGGAAAAGAUAAAGUUUUACAGGUGAAAAAGUGAAAAGGCUGUAAAAAAAUGUUCCAGGUCCAUCAACAGGUCAUUGAGGUCAAAGAGAUUCCAGUUCCCUGUAGGUCUACGUUAAGACCCUCACAUCCCAUCAGGCCUCAGAACGACUCAGGAUCAACCAGGAGGAGCUGGAGAGUGAUGAUGGAGAGAAGAACAUAUGAACAGAAGUGAUCUAUCACCUGUGAGGUUCGGAGUUUAGCGUCAAACUGAGAUCUGAAUUAGAAGAAUUUCUUCAUGAGGACGAGCACAGUGAAGCUUUGAAGAUCGACAUGAAGACCAGAGCAUGAGGGACGACAGGAAAGAGAGACAGAGCUGUUUCCAGAGCUGUCGCCCUCUCUUAAGUUUCCCUUAUCAACAUUAACAGCACUGACACAAUAGAUGAAGUCACUUCUCACUCUCACAUUACAUAAACAAAACCAGCAUCCGUCUCCCAUUGGUCCGGUCAGGUGUCACUCAAAGGCUGCAUUGCAUCACUCUGCCACACACUCGCCCGUGAUUGGCCGCUCUGUCUAGUCGCUGCCGCCCCCUGGCCUCUGAUUGGCUGAGCCCUGAC
Pleuronectes platessa (European plaice) is the source of this 729-nucleotide long non-coding RNA. RefSeq lists it as uncharacterized. The record is from RefSeq and is a predicted model, not a curated record. Lineage: Eukaryota; Metazoa; Chordata; Actinopteri; Pleuronectiformes; Pleuronectidae. The transcript is spliced from 4 exons.